Molecule: ribosomal RNA, 253 nt
Filed under: uncultured bacterium
Lineage: Bacteria
Description: partial 16S ribosomal RNA
Rfam family: Bacterial small subunit ribosomal RNA
Source: RNAcentral
GACGAGUCUCACGAACGUUAUUCGGAAUUACUGGGCUUAAAGGGUGCGUAGGCGGUGGAGUAAGUCGGAUGUGAAAUACCAUAGCUUAACUAUGGAACUGCACUCGAUACUACUUUGCUAGAGUAAGACAGAGGUGAGUGGAACUGAGGGUGGAGCGGUGAAAUGCGUUGAUAUCUACAGGAACUCCGGUGGCGAAAGCGGCGCGCUGGACCUCUUCUGACGCUGAGGCGCGAAAGCUAGGGGAGCAAACGGG